Molecule: ribosomal RNA, 443 nt
Filed under: uncultured bacterium
Lineage: Bacteria
Description: SSU rRNA
Rfam family: Bacterial small subunit ribosomal RNA
Source: RNAcentral
AGAACGAACGCUGGCGGCAGGCUUAACACAUGCAAGUCGAGCGCCCCGCAAGGGGAGCGGCAGACGGGUGAGUAACGCGUGGGAACAUACCCUCCGGUUCGGAAUAGCUCAGGGAAACUUGGAUUAAUACCGGAUACGGCCUAGCGGCGAAAGAUUCAUCGCCGGAGGAUUGGCCCGCGUUCGAUUAGCUAGUUGGUGAGGUAACGGCUCACCAAGGCGACGAUCGAUAGCUGGUCUGAGAGGAUGAUCAGCCACAUUGGGACUGAGACACGGCCCAAACUCCUACGGGAGGCAGCAGUGGGGAUAUUGGACAAUGGGCGCAAGCCUGAUCCAGCCAUGCCGCGUGAGUGAUGACGGCCUUAGGGUUGUAAAGCUCUUUCGCUAGGGACGAUAAUGACGGUACCUAGACAAGAAGCCCCGGCUAACUUCGCGCCAGCAGCCGC